GUCCCUUCAAGGACAUCCGAUAAAAUUGGAAUAAUACAGAGAAGUUUAACAUGCCCCUGCGCAAAGAUGACACAUACAAAUGGAGAGAAGAAAUACUGGCCA
Molecule: small nuclear RNA, 102 nt
Organism: Prosopis cineraria
Lineage: Eukaryota; Viridiplantae; Streptophyta; Magnoliopsida; Fabales; Fabaceae
Source: RefSeq, a predicted model, not a curated record